CAAGUCGCACGAGAAAGGGGAGCAAUCCCUGAGUACAGUGGCGUACGGGUGAGUAACACGUGGAUGAUCUACCUUCUAGUGGGGAAUAACCAUGGGAAACCGUGGCUAAUACCGCAUAAGCUCGAGAGAGGAAAGCAGCAAUGCGCUGGAAGAGGAGUCCGCGGCCGAUUAGCUAGUUGGCAGGGUAAAAGCCUACCAAGGCAGAGAUCGGUAGCCGGCCUGAGAGGGCACACGGCCACACUGGCACUGAAACACGGGCCAGACUCCUACGGGAGGCAGCAGUGGGGAAUCUUGCACAAUGGGGGAAACCCUGAUGCAGCGACGCCGCGUGAGCGAUGAAGCCCUUCGGGGUGUAAAGCUCUUUCGGCAGGGAAGAUGAUGACGGUACCUGCAGAAGCAGCUGCGGCUAACUACGUGCCAGCAGCCGCGGUAAUACGUAGGCAGCGAGCGUUGUUCGGAGUUACUGGGCGUAAAGGGUGUGUAGGCGGUUGUUUAAGUUUGGUGUGAAAUCUCCCGGCUCAACUGGAAGGGUGCGCCGAAUACUGAAUGACUUGGAGUGCGGGAGAGGUGAGUGGAAUUCCUGGUGUAGCGGUGAAAUGCGUAGAUAUCAGGAGGAACACCGGUGGUGUAGACGGCUCACUGGACCGUAACUGACGCUGAGACACGAAAGCGUGGGUAGCAAACAGGAUUAGAUACCCUGGUAGUCCACGCCCUAAACGAUGCAUAUUUGGUGUGGGCAGUU
Molecule: ribosomal RNA, 742 nt
Filed under: uncultured Bacillota bacterium
Lineage: Bacteria; Bacillati; Bacillota
Description: bacterial SSU rRNA
Rfam family: Bacterial small subunit ribosomal RNA
Source: RNAcentral